AGCUUUGCGCAGUGGCAGUAUCAUAGCCAAUGAGGUUUAUCCCAGGCGCGAUUAUUGCUAAUUGAAUUUACUUGGGGAGACCUACCUAUGGCAGCUCACACCGUUGGGAUUAUUAUGACAGAGGAUGUGAUGGAGGCUAUGAUGACCGGGACUGCUAUAG
Tupaia belangeri (northern tree shrew) is the source of this 160-nucleotide small nuclear RNA. Its record names the gene U4. It matches the Rfam family "U4 spliceosomal RNA". From Rfam's summary of the family: U4 small nuclear RNA (U4 snRNA) is a component of the major U2-dependent spliceosome. The structure of U4 snRNA from yeast and human has been reported. The record is from Ensembl. Lineage: Eukaryota; Metazoa; Chordata; Mammalia; Scandentia; Tupaiidae.